GAUCCAGACUCCUACGGGAGGCAGCAGUCGGGAAUAUUGCGCAAUGGAGGAAACUCUGACGCAGUGACGCCGCGUAUAGGAAGAAGGUUUUCGGAUUGUAAACUAUUGUCGUUAGGGAAGAUAGAAGACAGUACCUAAGGAGGAAGCUCCAGCUAACUACGUGCCAGCAGCCGCGGUAAUACGUAGGGAGCAAGCGUUAUCCGGAUUUAUUGGGUGUAAAGGGUGCGUAGACGGGAAAUUAAGUUAGUUGUGAAAUCCCUCGGCUCAACUGAGGAACUGCAACUAAAACUGAUUUUCUUGAGUGCAGGAGAGGUAAGUGGAAUUCCUAGUGUAGCGGUGAAAUGCGUAGAUAUUAGGAGGAACACCAGUGGCGAAGGCGACUUUCUGGACUGUACCUGACGCUGAGGCGCGAAAGCGUGGGUAGCGAACGGGAUUAGAUACCCUGGUA
RNAcentral lists this ribosomal RNA (448 nucleotides) under uncultured bacterium. Its description in RNAcentral is "bacterial SSU rRNA". It matches the Rfam family "Bacterial small subunit ribosomal RNA", at positions 328 to 792 of the family's 1533-position model. The record is from RNAcentral.